Molecule: long non-coding RNA, 1336 nt
Organism: Mauremys mutica (yellowpond turtle)
Lineage: Eukaryota; Metazoa; Chordata; Testudines; Geoemydidae
Exons: 3
Source: RefSeq, a predicted model, not a curated record
GAGUGACUCUCUAGGUUGAAUGGCCUUUAGGGAGGCAUCCUGGGGCUGGCUAGUAGUUUACCAAACUUGGGAAGAAAGUUUGGCAUUGAAUUUGUUUUACUGUUUGCAAAUAAAGCUUAAGCCCAGGAAGGGGUUAGGGUUCCAAUCCAUUCUUCCUUGGAGGAGGGGAAGAGCCAGGAGAUGGGAUGGUGGGGGAGUUCAGUUUCUUCUGUCUCCUGAAAAAGGAAGAGAGGCUGAAUUCAAGGCUGGUGUGAAGUUGCUUCAUUGGCUCCCCGAGGUCUGAAAUUUAGAAUCCACAGGGGUGGAAUGAUAAAGUGUUUCCAAAAGUCAAAGACACAGAUCUUCAGCUGGACCAGAGCUUCACUUGGUGCAGCUGAGGGGGACAAAGGUGACUGCCAGAGGCUAGACUGACAUAACAGGUUCACUGCUCCAAAUUACGCCUGGCUGCACAAGACACAAGGGGCCAUUCUGCCGCUGGGGAUCUACAGUAUGUAGGCAUACCUCCAUAAUGGGGGAAUCGCCAGCUGUCAACUUACGAUAGCUUUAUGGGUCCUGCUGCAAAGGAGACAGAUCUGGCUCUAAAAGAGGAGAUUAAUGUUUCCUUUUAUAUACCAUUCCCAUGUACCUUGAGGAAAGUCUGUUGGUUCCGACUCUACAGUUUGUUAGUCUGUGAGGGUGAUAAUAGAAGGCUUCAGCAGGCAUUUGUUGAUAGUUAGCAAUGAUUCUAUAUGAGGCUGUAGUGCCAGUUAGACCUAGUCCUACACAGGGCAUGGCGGUCAGUGCUACAGCAUGUGCAGAGAAGCAGCAGGAGGCAUUCUCUCUCAUAAAAUGCCUCCUGGAAGUCUUUGCUGAGUAGGGGAGCACACAAACAGCUACCCCCUUUUAAGGAGUUCAGCAUCUCCCCCUACCCUCUUCCUGCAUGACUAACUAAUGGAGCAGGAUUGGGGAUAAACAGGAUCAUGGCUCCACCUGCUCACCAUCCCCUUUUGUGUGUUCUCUGCCCCUGAGGGAAUUAUGUGGGGGGCAAUCUCAGAGUUGUCCUGAACACUGGGACUGCAAUUCUCCCUAAUCCUAACACUGGACUCAUAUAGGUGGUAGGAUAUAAACAUCUUCCCCUCCAUCUCUCAGCCCUACAGCACACCCAAUUAAGGGCUAACUAGAAUCUAGCCCACAGAGAUUGAAUGAAUAAUAAAAAUUAACCGUGACAGUUUGUUAUAGUGAACUCUCUCAAUAAGAAUCCAGGCCUUAAAUGCCACAUAAGAAAACUCAGGAUAAGGCUUUUGUAUUUAGGCUUAACUAAGUGAUGUAUUUGUGUGUCUUGUCUCGAUUUUUCCCU